GGUCGUGGCUCAGUGGUGGAGCGCUUGCCUAGCAUACAUGAGGCACUGGGUUCGAUUCUCAGCACCA
Molecule: transfer RNA, 67 nt
Filed under: Marmota marmota marmota (Alpine marmot)
Lineage: Eukaryota; Metazoa; Chordata; Mammalia; Rodentia; Sciuridae
Also listed under: 1 other name
Rfam family: tRNA
About the family: Transfer RNA (tRNA) molecules are approximately 80 nucleotides in length. Their secondary structure includes four short double-helical elements and three loops (D, anti-codon, and T loops).
Source: Rfam by way of RNAcentral